Molecule: ribosomal RNA, 241 nt
Filed under: uncultured Staphylococcus sp.
Lineage: Bacteria; Bacillati; Bacillota; Bacilli; Caryophanales; Staphylococcaceae
Description: partial 16S ribosomal RNA
Rfam family: Bacterial small subunit ribosomal RNA
Source: RNAcentral
CGGACGGGUGAGUAACACGUGGAUAACCUACCUAUAAGACUGGGAUAACUUCGGGAAACCGGAGCUAAUACCGGAUAAUAUAUUGAACCACAUGGUUCAAUAGUGAAAGACGGUUUUGCUGUCACUUAUAGAUGGAUCCGCGCCGCAUUAGCUAGUUGGUAAGGUAACGGCUUACCAAGGCAACGAUGCGUAGCCGACCUGAGAGGGUGAUCGGCCACACUGGAACUGAGACACGGUCCAG